RNAcentral lists this ribosomal RNA (168 nucleotides) under Chaetodon citrinellus (speckled butterflyfish). RNAcentral describes it as "partial 12S rRNA". The record is from RNAcentral. Lineage: Eukaryota; Metazoa; Chordata; Actinopteri; Chaetodontiformes; Chaetodontidae.
CACCGCGGUUAUACGAGAGACUCAAGUUGACAGUCAUCGGCGUAAAGAGUGGUUAAGAUGAAUAAAAACUAAAGCUAAAUACCUUCAAAGCUGUUAUACGUUCUCGAAGGUGAGAAACCCAACUACGAAAGUGGCUUUAUUAUAUCUGACCCCACGAAAGCUAGGGUA